This 478-nucleotide ribosomal RNA is filed under the name uncultured bacterium. RNAcentral describes it as "bacterial SSU rRNA". It matches the Rfam family "Bacterial small subunit ribosomal RNA", at positions 28 to 523 of the family's 1533-position model. The record is from RNAcentral.
GAUGAACGCUGGCGGCGUGCUUAACACAUGCAAGUCGAACGUGAGGGUGCAGCGAUGUGCCUGAAAGUGGCGAACGGGUGAGUAACACGUAGAUGACCUGCCCUGGAGUGGGGGAUAACCAUUGGAAACGGUGGCUAAUACCGCAUACAUCCGGAGAACUGGGAAGUUUUCUGGGGAAAGCUCUGGUGCUUCAGGAGGGUCUGCGUCCGAUUAGCUAGUUGGUGGGGUAAAGGCUCACCAAGGCGACGAUCGGUAGCUGGUCUGAGAGGACGAUCAGCCACACGGGAACUGAGACACGGUCCCGACUCCUACGGGGGGCAGCAGUGAGGAAUAUUGGGCAAUGGGCGGAAGCCUGACCCAGCAACGCCGCGUGGAGGAAGACGGGCCUUCGGGUUGUAAACUACCUUUGUACGGGAAGAGAGAGGACGGUACCGUCCGAAUAAGUCACGGCUAACUACGUAGCCAGCAGCCGCGGUAA